AGUGAACGCUGGCGGCAGGCCUAACACAUGCAAGUCGAACGGCAGCACAGGAGAGCUUGCUCUCUGGGUGGCGAGUGGCGGACGGGUGAGGAAUAUAUCGGAAUCUACCCUUUCGUGGGGGAUAACGUAGGGAAACUUACGCUAAUACCGCAUACGAACUGAGGUUGAAAGCGGCGGACCGCAAGGCGCCGCGCGGAUGGGUGAGCCGAUAUCCGAUUAGCUAGUUGGCGGGGUAAAGGCCCACCAAGGCGACGAUCGGUAGCUGGUCUGAGAGGAUGAUCAGCCACACUGGAACUGAGACACGGUCCAGACUCCUACGGGAGGCAGCAGUGGGGAAUAUUGGACAAUGGGCGCAAGCCUGAUCCAGCCAUGCCGCGUGUGUGAAGAAGGCCUUCGGGUUGUAAAGCACUUUUGUUGGGAAAGAAAAGCGGUCGGUUAAUACCCGGUCGGUCUGACGGUACCCAAAGAAUAAGCACCGGCUAACUUCGUGCCAGCCGCCGCCGUAA
This 506-nucleotide ribosomal RNA is filed under the name uncultured bacterium. Its description in RNAcentral is "partial 16S ribosomal RNA". It matches the Rfam family "Bacterial small subunit ribosomal RNA", at positions 29 to 523 of the family's 1533-position model. The record is from RNAcentral.